UCCGGUUUGUCACCGGCAGUCUCCCUAGAGUCCCCGCCAUUACGCGCUGGCAACUAAGGAUAGGGGUUGCGCUCGUUACGGGACUUAACCCAACAUCUCACGACACGAGCUGACGACAGCCAUGCAGCACCUGUCUAUCAGUUCCCGAAGGCACCGAGUUAUCUCUAACAAGUUCUGAUGAUGUCAAGGGUAGGUAAGGUUCUUCGCGUUGCAUCGAAUUAAACCACAUGCUCCACCGCUUGUGCGGGCCCCCGUCAAUUUCUUUGAGUUUUAGCCUUGCGGCCGUACUCCCCAGGCGGUCUACUUAAGGCGUUAGCUGCGCCACUAAAGGGUAAAUCCCCCCAACGGCUAGUAGACAUCGUUUACGGCGUGGACUAC
RNAcentral lists this unclassified non-coding RNA (378 nucleotides) under uncultured Gammaproteobacteria bacterium. Its description in RNAcentral is "contains 16S-23S intergenic spacer region". Lineage: Bacteria; Pseudomonadati; Pseudomonadota; Gammaproteobacteria. The record is from RNAcentral.